UUGACCUCGAAUCAGGUAGGGAUACCCGCUGAACUUAAGCAUAUCAAUAAGCGGAGGAAAAGAAACCAACAGGGAUUGCCUUAGUAACUGCGAGUGAAGCGGCAAGAGCUCAAAUUUGAAAUCUGGCGCCUUUGGCGUCCGAGUUGUAAUUUGGAGAGGCAUCUUCGGGUGCGGCGCCGGCCUAAGUUCCUUGGAACAGGACGUCAUAGAGGGUGAGAAUCCCGUUCUCGGCUGGCUGUCCGCGUCCAUGUGAAGUGUCUUCGACGAGUCGAGUUGUUUGGGAAUGCAGCUCAAAAUGGGUGGUAAACUCCAUCUAAAGCUAAAUACUGGCGAGAGACCGAUAGCGCACAAGUAGAGUGAUCGAAAGAUGAAAAGCACUUUGAAAAGAGAGUUAAAAAGUACGUGAAAUUGUUGAAAGGGAAGCGCUUGAGACCAGACUCGGCGGGAGGUAUUCAUCGUCCCUUCUGGGGCGUGCACUUGCCUCUCGUCGGGCCAGCAUCGGUUGCGGCGGCGGGAUAAAGACCCGGGGAACGUGGCUGCUCUCGGGCAGUGUUAUAGCCCCGGGUGUCAUGCCGCCUGCUGCGACCGAGGACCGCGCUCCGGCU
Molecule: ribosomal RNA, 605 nt
Filed under: Desmazierella acicola
Lineage: Eukaryota; Fungi; Ascomycota; Pezizomycetes; Pezizales; Sarcoscyphaceae
Description: eukaryotic LSU rRNA
Rfam family: Eukaryotic large subunit ribosomal RNA
Source: RNAcentral